Molecule: ribosomal RNA, 301 nt
Filed under: uncultured bacterium
Lineage: Bacteria
Description: partial 16S ribosomal RNA
Rfam family: Bacterial small subunit ribosomal RNA
Source: RNAcentral
CAGUAGCCGCGGUAAAACGUAGGGGGCAAGCGUUAUCCGGAAUUACUGGGUGUAAAGGGAGCGUAGACGGUUAAACAAGUCUGAAGUGAAAUGCCGGGGCUCAACCCCGGAGCUGCUUUGGGAACUGUAGAACUGGAGUGUCGGAGGGGUAAGCGGAAUUCCCAGUGUAGCGGUGAAAUGCGUAGAUAUUGGGAGGAACACCGGCGGCGAAGGCGGCUUACUGGACGACAACUGACGUUGAGGCUCGAAGGCGUGGGUAGCAAACAGGAUUAGAUACCCGGGUAGUCCCUGUCUCUUAUAC